Molecule: non-coding RNA, 186 nt
Filed under: Terrabacter sp.
Lineage: Bacteria; Bacillati; Actinomycetota; Actinomycetes; Micrococcales; Intrasporangiaceae
Source: RNAcentral
UCAGGAUGCGAGGGCCGCAGUGCACGGGAAGUCGGUGUGAUUCCGACGUGGUCCUCGCCACUGUGACCAGGGAGCAAGUCCCCACCAUCGCCACUGGUGACCUCAGGUGAACAGCCGGGUCGCUGGGAAGGCGGGGAGGCGCGACGAUCUGGAAGCCAGGAGACCGGCUGCGGCGUGAUCUGUCCA